RNA transcript from Alligator sinensis (Chinese alligator), 1625 nucleotides. It is a transcript of the gene named myelin-oligodendrocyte glycoprotein-like, with no coding region annotated. NCBI's taxonomy places the organism in Eukaryota, Metazoa, Chordata, Crocodylia, Alligatoridae. The record is from RefSeq and is a predicted model, not a curated record. The transcript has 7 exons.
GUCACAGACAUGUCAGUCAGUUAAGUCUUCUGUGUCACAUUGAAAACUGCCAGUACUGAAGGAUCCUGGAUGUGGCCUCUUUAAACUGCUUCAUAAGUCUUGUGCGUCUGGGAACAAGGCAGUGAGAAGUGAAAGCUUUUUCUGGUGUAAGUGGCAUUAUGCUGGAGAGAAGAGAGAGAAAGUGACAGUCUCCAGACAAAGCAUUUUUUUAAUGCCACUCCUUUUAGGUUUUGUUCUGGAAAAAAAAUAUCAUCAGACAAGACUGCUGGAGAACCGGUUGCAAGAUCAAGCCACUGAAGCACAGAGGCAUCACCAUUCUAUGAGGAGGCACACAUGGAAAACUUAAUGAAGUGAGAGGAUUUGCAGCAACUGGUGCAAAAAUGAAGAGGGCAGGUGUCCUUCACUUGAUCACUUGCUUACUACUGUGGUUUGUACCUGGUGUGCUUCCUCAACCAACUUUGUACCAAGCAAUCAAUGGAGACACUGCUAUUCUGCCUUGUGCCAAUCAGACAUCUGAAAAACUGGACAUGAAGAAGUAUUCAAUAUACUGGCAGAUUGAGUCAUCAGUAGUGCAUUUUUUUCAUAAUGGGGCAGAAUCACUGAACAAUCAGCUUAAAAGAUAUCAGAACCGAACCAGGCUCUUUUUGGAUCAGCUGGAGCAUGGUAACUUUUCUCUAAUACUCUCUCAAGUUCAGCAUGGUGAUGAAGCUGUGUAUACCUGCAUCUACAGAAAUGGAGAGACCAGAGCAAUAGGGAAGCAUGCAGUUAGACUGAAUGUCUCAGAUAUCCAGCCAAAAGAAGGGAAUUCUCUUUACCUUGGUCAACCUUCACAUCAUCCUAAUUGCAGCAGCAAUGCAAAGGACUCAGAUGCGUUUGUUUUGUCUCUUCACCUCCUGGUGGUAAUAAUGGCUUGGAUUUUACGAUUGUGAAUACAAACUUUCAUCUUCAACCUUCUCCCAGUGAGUGACUUCAAACUGAACCCUUCUGUGUGGUUGACUAUCACUGUUCCAGAAGCCACAAAUGAGGCAUUGAUACUUGAGAAAAAGGUCACACUUUAGGUCAUCUAUGAUCCCUCCUUCUCCUUCAAAAAGAAAUACUCUAUUCACUCAAUAGGAAGAGGAGUGAUGGUGGAAGGCAAUGAAACAUUUAAAGCAAGCAAGUGCAGAGGAAGAUGAUCCCACCAACAGAUCAGCCAGACUUUAAAAGACAUAAUCUGGCAUUUUCAUCCCCUCUUCCUCAUAGAACAUAAGUUAAAUACAACCAGUUGACAAAAGUCUGAAGUUCUACUUGGUCUGGAUGCAAGCAAUCCCAUGACCAUUGACACCUAGUUACUAAUUCAUAUAGGAUGUAUUUAAACAAACAAAACAGGAAUACAGAAUGAUUUAAGCGUCCAAAGUUUAGGAAUGAUAAUUGUCUGGAUUGCACUGGUCUGUUCUUUGGAAUGCUCCAUGCAGGAAACUAAAGAAGAUAUCUCUCCAUGUUUAAGGUUGAAAUUAACUUCCUGUUGAUUAACUUCCUAUUUGGACCUGGACCGUUCUCAGUGGUGGCAGAUGACAGAACAAGAAGCAAUGGUCUCAAGUUGCAGCAAGGGAAGUUUAAGUUAGAUAUUAGGAAGAACUUUCUCA